Molecule: ribosomal RNA, 516 nt
Filed under: uncultured bacterium
Lineage: Bacteria
Description: bacterial SSU rRNA
Rfam family: Bacterial small subunit ribosomal RNA
Source: RNAcentral
GAACGCUUUCAGCUUGCUGAAGCAAGUAAAGUGGCGCACGGGUGAGUAUCGCGUGGGUAAUCUACCCUUGAAUCGGANAUAACUCCGCGAAAGCGGGGCUAAUACCGGAUAAUAUUUUUUAUGCUCAGGCUGUAAAAAUCAAAGGUGGCCUCUUCAUGAAAGCUACCGUUAAAGGAUGAGCCCGCGUACCAUUAGCUUGUUGGUGGGGUAAUGGCCCACCAAGGCCGCGAUGGUUAGCUGGUCUGAGAGGAUGAUCAGCCACACUGGAACUGACACACGGUCCAGACUCCUACGGGAGGCAGCAGUGAGGAAUUUUGCGCAAUGGGGGAAACCCUGACGCAGCAGCGCCGCGUGAGUGAUGAAGGCUUUCGGGUCGUAAAGCUCUGUCAAGUGGGAAGAAACUGAUCCGUAUUAAUACUACGGUUCACUGACGGUACCACUGAAGGAAGCACCGGCUAACUCCGUGCCAGCAGCCGCGGUAAUACGGAUGGUGCGAGCGUUAUUCGGGAAUUACUG